CAAAGGGGAAAGUGCGACGGAGCAACGCCGCGUGAGAGAAGAAGGUCUUCGGAUCGUAAAAAUCUGUUGUUCCGGAAGAACAAGUAUCGUUGGAAUAGGGCGGUACCUUGACGGUACCUAACCAGAAAGCCCCGGCUAACUACGUGCCAGCAGCCGCGGUAAUACGUAGGUGGCCAGCGUUGUCCGGAAUUUUUGGGCGUAAAGCGGGCGCCGGCGGUCUUUUAAGUUUGAUGUGAAAGCCCACGGCUCAACCGUGGAGGGUCAUUGGAAACUGGAAGACUUGAGUGCAGAAGAGGAGAGUGGAAUUCCACGUGUAGCGGUGAAAUGCGUAGAGAUGUGGAGGAACACCAGUGGCGAAGGCGACUCUCUGGUCUGUAACUGACGCUGAGGCGCGAAAGCGUGGGGAGCAAACAGGAUUAGAUACCCUGGUAGUCCACGCCGUAAACGAUGAGUGCUAAGUGUUAGUGGGUUU
Molecule: ribosomal RNA, 472 nt
Filed under: uncultured bacterium
Lineage: Bacteria
Description: bacterial SSU rRNA
Rfam family: Bacterial small subunit ribosomal RNA
Source: RNAcentral